CCCACUCCAAGGAAGACCGGCAGGGUUCACUAUGAAGCCUUUCAAAGAUUCGUCUAACAAGUUAGGGCCGCUAGGUUUCGUUAGUCAGUCCGUGUGACUCACCCGCAGGAAUCCACGGUCUGCUAUCCCCCACUUGCGCCACAAGGGUAACCACUAACAAGCUAGAAAAGGUCCUCAUACUGAGCUAAAGCCAGAGCCAUAUAGCCCUCACAGUUGUACUGUAUGUCCCGGACGGUCAGAUACAGAUAAGUCCUUAUGGAGAGAAACUAGAGCACCAUAAGAUAGCCCAAUGCUCUAGCCCUCUUUUUCCAACAUUGCUAAAAAGUCAUCUUUUAAUGUUUAUUGCAUAACUCUUUAGUCAAAUUACAAGAUCAUGGUUUAGUGGAGCACUAGCAUAAGCUACCCAAUGCAUAACCAUAGGUGACAAGGUAUAAGAUCAAUACUAGGAAAUCCUUAUCAAGGGGACACAUGCAGUAUGAAUUAAGUGAUUAAAGUUAUUAGAAAACAAGGAUGAUCCCAUGCUAUACUUGCCUUGAUCACACUGGUCCUGCUGAUCCUGCUCGUAGU
This 567-nucleotide long non-coding RNA is filed under the name Sorghum bicolor (sorghum). RNAcentral describes it as "long non-coding RNA (SBIC_LNC007628)". Lineage: Eukaryota; Viridiplantae; Streptophyta; Magnoliopsida; Poales; Poaceae. The record is from RNAcentral.